This is a long non-coding RNA of Pistacia vera, 1099 nucleotides long. RefSeq lists it as uncharacterized. The record is from RefSeq and is a predicted model, not a curated record. NCBI's taxonomy places the organism in Eukaryota, Viridiplantae, Streptophyta, Magnoliopsida, Sapindales, Anacardiaceae. The transcript is spliced from 4 exons.
CCGCCCCUCAUCUCCUUUCUCUCUUUCUCUUUCAAACACAGGUGAAGAACGUGAGAAUAUUCAUGAUGUGAAACAGAGUAGCCCUUUGAGAGCAACGCAUGCAAAUCAAUCCUUUUGGAAGGAGAGAGUUUCAAUUGAUACUGUUACGCGCCCUUUUGAACCAGAGGAGUUAAAUAAGAAAAUUCCUUCCUUGAUUACUAAGGUUGUAGAACCUACAAAAAGGAAGGAAGAACUCUUUCAAUUGAAAGCACGUUAUCGAGAUUUUCAAUCGCAAAGUGGUUGCCCUUGCUCAAUUUGUGUGUCAGACCUUGAUGCUGUGACUCUAGCAUUACUCAAUCUAGCAGUCCGGAAGACGGUUGAGUGGUAGGUAUUUCUUCCUUGCUUUGAUAGCAUUUAAUUGCCUUGCCUCCACUAUUUUGUGCUUUGUUUGAUUGUGAAGUAAAAUAUGCGCAACAAAGAAAAAAAAAAUGUUAUGGUUGACUAUGGUUGAUGUUGUUGCGCUAUUGUGUUCUAUAAAUUGAGGUUCUGUAAAUACAUUAGGUUGUAAAUGUGGUGGAGAUUAUGAGUUGUAAACUUUCGAAUGAAGAAUUAGAACAAAUGAGGAUAUGGGUGCCUUUAUCAUGUUUUGAAGAUAAUCACAACAUCAACAAUGAGGCCAAAUUAAUUGACACUGAAGGCAGUAUAAGCAUUGCAAAUCAAUCUGGAAUGGUGGAUAUCAAUAGUGGAGCCUAUGCUGCAGGGCCUUUGGUGUUGAGAAGGGCAUGUGGCUGCCCCAAGUUGUAGGCCAUGGAUUUGGUUACAAAACCUUCUUUGUUGGAGUUUCCAUUCUUGCCAGGAGGUGCUGCUUGCUUUCUCCUGUCCUUGGGUGUGUGCUUUGCAAGAGUUUUGCUAUGGUGAGUCUUGGUUUUUCUGCUAGUUGGGGAUUGAAGCUUUUGCUAGAUUUCCUCGAGGGUGGCUGGAGUUUUGAGACUUUUUGGCUAUGGACCUCUAUGUGUGGACUUUGCAGUUUGCUUUGUGCCCAGACGACUUGCUUUUUCAUUGCUGACCUUUUUUGUCUAGUAUUUCUUAGACUAACUACAUGUUUUGUUAAGACUUUAAU